Molecule: transfer RNA, 87 nt
Filed under: Gammaproteobacteria bacterium
Lineage: Bacteria; Pseudomonadati; Pseudomonadota; Gammaproteobacteria
Description: tRNA-Leu
Rfam family: tRNA
About the family: Transfer RNA (tRNA) molecules are approximately 80 nucleotides in length. Their secondary structure includes four short double-helical elements and three loops (D, anti-codon, and T loops). Further hydrogen bonds mediate the characteristic L-shaped molecular structure. tRNAs have two regions of fundamental functional importance: the anti-codon, which is responsible for specific mRNA codon recognition, and the 3' end, to which the tRNAs corresponding amino acid is attached (by aminoacyl-tRNA synthetases). tRNAs cope with the degeneracy of the genetic code in two manners: having more than one tRNA (with a specific anti-codon) for a particular amino acid; and 'wobble' base-pairing, i.e. permitting non-standard base-pairing at the 3rd anti-codon position.
Source: RNAcentral
GCCGGGGUGGUGAAAUUGGUAAACACAGGGGAUUCAAAAUCCCCCGACUUAACGGUCUUGUCGGUUCGAGUCCGACCCUCGGUACCA